CCUACGGGUGGCUGCAGUGGGGAAUAUUGGACAAUGGGCGAAAGCCUGAUCCAGCCAUGCCGCGUGUGUGAAGAAGGCCUUCGGGUUGUAAAGCACUUUCAGUGGGGAAGAAAGCCUUGGGGCUAAUACCCUCGAGGAAGGACAUCACCCACAGAAGAAGCACCGGCUAACUCCGUGCCAGCAGCCGCGGUAAUACGGAGGGUGCGAGCGUUAAUCGGAAUUACUGGGCGUAAAGCGCGCGUAGGCGGUCUGAUAAGCCGGUUGUGAAAGCCCCGGGCUCAACCUGGGAACGGCAUCCGGAACUGUCAGGAUAGAGUGCAGGAGAGGAAGGUAGAAUUCCCGGUGUAGCGGUGAAAUGCGUAGAGAUCGGGAGGAAUACCAGUGGCGAAGGCGGUCUUCUGGACUGACACUGACGCUGAGGUGCGAAAGCGUGGGUAGCAAACAGGAUUAGAUACCCGGGUAGUC
RNAcentral lists this ribosomal RNA (465 nucleotides) under Vreelandella stevensii. RNAcentral's name for it is "partial 16S ribosomal RNA". It matches the Rfam family "Bacterial small subunit ribosomal RNA", at positions 338 to 795 of the family's 1533-position model. The record is from RNAcentral. Lineage: Bacteria; Pseudomonadati; Pseudomonadota; Gammaproteobacteria; Oceanospirillales; Halomonadaceae.